UAAUGGAUAUUUGAAGUAUUGGAAAGUAGACAGGUCGGGGAUCUUAAGGAGAUUAAAUUGAUAAAAGAAAACAAAAAAGACGAUCCAUCAUAAAAUAAUUUAAGCGUCCUCUCUGAACUCCAAUGAUGUUCCGAUGACAGAACCAUUAUAUAGGAACUUCCACAUAAAGCAGAUACAUUCAGCCCUUGUCAUAUAUCAUCAGGGUUUAAGAAAAGUUCUUGCAAUUUCGGUCUGGUCUUUAGGAACUUUUUGAAUGGCACAUCAUGAUAUCCUGUGGUGAAUAAUACUGAUACAGUUUAGCAAUGAAUAUAGGGAAACCAGUGGAGCAGACGGCUAUAUAUUUACACAGUAUGUCUGCUUUUUAUGGGACCACCUGGAGGAGACCUUAAAAACACUCUGUCCUAUAUGACCUGGAAGCUGAACAAGGAAAGGACUAGACUAGAAGCACAAAGACCCAUUACGGCCCUGUCCUGGCAAAGCAUCUCAAGGGAGGAAAGUCAGCUUCUUGGUGAUGUCCAUAUGUUCCAGACCCCGGGCAGACAUUGACGGCAAAGUAUUCAUCUAGGGUAGCCAGGAGCCCGGCAGGGAAAAAGCUCAGAACCAUUCAUUCACACCGAUCAUGCUAACAUCUGGCCGCAGCAUAUUUUUGGACCGAAAAAACGCCAUGCAACAGAUUUGAAACUUAGCCUUAAGCACCCAGAUCACCCAUGAGCACCAACAUAUUCCACAGCGCUGUACUGAGAUUGUCAUCCCUGAUACAAAAUACAGAUGCCUAUAUGACAAAAUCGUCUCUGCUGCAUCUGUGUGGUGCGAAAACUACAGUGAAGAAUGACAAGGGGGUUAAGUAUCAACGUUCUCUUCUUACCAAAAAAAGUUACAGCAAAUCCUUCCAACACGCAAGCCCACGGUCCCAGGUAAAAGUAUCCUCUGCUGUUGGUGGCGAUGCUGAUGCUGCCGCCAACAAUGGACACCAAGAAGUCUGCCACCGACAGGUUGACGAU
Hyla sarda is the source of this 1001-nucleotide long non-coding RNA. RefSeq lists it as uncharacterized. The record is from RefSeq and is a predicted model, not a curated record. Lineage: Eukaryota; Metazoa; Chordata; Amphibia; Anura; Hylidae. The transcript has 5 exons.